CGAAAGCCUGACGGAGCAACGCCGCGUGAGGGAUGGAGGCCUUUGGGCUGUAAACCUCUUUUCUCAAGGAAGAAGAUCUGACGGUACUUGAGGAAUAAGCCACGGCUAAUUCCGUGCCAGCAGCCGCGGUAAUACGGGAGUGGCAAGCGUUAUCCGGAAUUAUUGGGCGUAAAGCGUCCGCAGGCGGCCGUUUAAGUCUGUUGUUAAAUCGUGGAGCUCAACUCCAUCACGGCAAUGGAAACUGUUCGGCUUGGGUAUGGUAGGGGCAGAGGGAAUUUCCGGUGUAGCGGUGAAAUGCGUAGAUAUCGGGAAGAACACCAGUGGCGAAAGCGCUCUGCUGGGCCAUUACUGACGCUCAUGGACGAAAGCCAGGGGAGCGAAAGGGAUUAGAUACCCCUGUAGUCCUGGCCGUAAACGAUGAACACUAGAUGUUGGGGGAAUCGACCCCCUCGGUGUCGUAGCUAACGCGUUAAGUGUUCCGCCUGGGGAGUACGCACGCAAGUGUGAAACUCAAAGGAAUUGACGGGGGCCCGCACAAGCGGUGGAGUAUGUGGUUUAAUUCGAUGCAACGCGAAGAACCUUACCAAGGCUUGACAUCCUGCGAAUCUCUAAGAAAUUAGAGAGUGCCUUCGGGAACGCAGUGACAGGUGGUGCAUGGCUGUCGUCAGCUCGUGUCGUGAGAUGUUGGGUUAAGUCCCGCAACGAGCGCAACCCACGUUUUUAGUUGCCAGCAUUCAGUUGGGCACUCUAGAAAGACUGCCGGUGACAAACCGGAGGAAGGUGUGGACGACGUCAAGUCAUCAUGCCCCUUACGCCUUGGGCUACACACGUACUACAAUGCUGCGGACAAAGAGUAGCGAUCUUGCGAAAGUUAGCUAAUCUCAUAAACCGUGGCUCAGUUCAGAUCGUAGGCUGCAACUCGCCUACGUGAAGGAGGAAUCGCUAGUAAUCGCAGGUCAGCAUACUGCGGUGAAUACGUUCCCGGGCCUUGUACACACCGCCCGUCACACCAUGGAAGUUGGCCAUGCCCGAAGUCGUUACUCUAACCUUUUGGAAGAGGGCGCCGAAGGCAGGGCUAAUGACUGGGGUGAAGUCGUAACAAGGUAGCCGUAGCGGAAGCUGCGGCUGGAUCACCUCCUAA
RNAcentral lists this ribosomal RNA (1141 nucleotides) under Candidatus Synechococcus spongiarum. Its description in RNAcentral is "bacterial SSU rRNA". It matches the Rfam family "Bacterial small subunit ribosomal RNA", at positions 376 to 1533 of the family's 1533-position model. The record is from RNAcentral. Lineage: Bacteria; Bacillati; Cyanobacteriota; Cyanophyceae; Synechococcales; Synechococcaceae.